GCGGGGUUGGUGUAGUUGGUUAUCACGUCAGUCUAACACGGCAUUUCGGAGCGAUUCGAGGUCCUGUAAGUGCACUGAAGGUCGCGAGUUCAAGUCUCGCAUCCCGUA
Molecule: non-coding RNA, 108 nt
Organism: Phyllosticta citribraziliensis
Lineage: Eukaryota; Fungi; Ascomycota; Dothideomycetes; Botryosphaeriales; Phyllostictaceae
Source: the annotation of a GenBank genome assembly